Molecule: transfer RNA, 71 nt
Filed under: Cordylochernes scorpioides
Lineage: Eukaryota; Metazoa; Arthropoda; Arachnida; Pseudoscorpiones; Chernetidae
Description: tRNA-Gly
Rfam family: tRNA
About the family: Transfer RNA (tRNA) molecules are approximately 80 nucleotides in length. Their secondary structure includes four short double-helical elements and three loops (D, anti-codon, and T loops).
Source: RNAcentral
GCAUCGGUGGCUUAGUGGUAGAAUGCUCUCCUGCCACGCGGGCGGCCCGGGUUCGAUUCCAGGCCGAUGCA